This 697-nucleotide ribosomal RNA is filed under the name uncultured bacterium. Its description in RNAcentral is "bacterial SSU rRNA". It matches the Rfam family "Bacterial small subunit ribosomal RNA", at positions 134 to 851 of the family's 1533-position model. The record is from RNAcentral.
UACACACGGAUAACAUACCGAAAGGUAUGCUAAUACGGGAUAAUAUAUUUGAGAGGCAUCUCUUAAAUAUCAAAGGUGAGCCAGUACAGGAUGGACCCGCGUCUGAUUAGCUAGUUGGUAAGGUAACGGCUUACCAAGGCGACGAUCAGUAGCCGACCUGAGAGGGUGAUCGGCCACAUUGGAACUGAGACACGGUCCAAACUCCUACGGGAGGCAGCAGUGGGGAAUAUUGCACAAUGGGCGAAAGCCUGAUGCAGCAACGCCGCGUGAGUGAUGAAGGCCUUCGGGUCGUAAAACUCUGUCCUCAAGGAGGAUAAUGACGGUACUUGAGGAGGAAGCCCCGGCUAACUACGUGCCAGCAGCCGCGGUAAUACGUAGGGGGCUAGCGUUAUCCGGAUUUACUGGGCGUAAAGGGUGCGUAGGCGGUCUUUCAAGUCAGGAGUGAAAGGCUACGGCUCAACCGUAGUAAGCUCUUGAAACUGGGAGACUUGAGUGCAGGAGAGGAGAGUGGAAUUCCUAGUGUAGCGGUGAAAUGCGUAGAUAUUAGGAGGAACACCAGUUGCGAAGGCGGCUCUCUGGACUGUAACUGACGCUGAGGCACGAAAGCGUGGGGAGCAAACAGGAUUAGAUACCCUGGUAGUCCACGCUGUAAACGAUGAGUACUAGGUGUCGGGGGUUACCCCCUUCGGUGCCGCAG